AGAGUUUGAUCAUGGCUCAGGAUGAACGCUGGCGGCGUGCAUAAUACAUGCAAGUCGAACGGGCCCUCUGUACUUGUACGGAGGUGUCCUAGUGGCGAACGGGUGAGUAACACGUAGGCGACCUGCCCCGAAGCGGGGGAUAACCUCUGGAAACGGAGGCUAAUACCCCAUACGCUCCAUGGUGUUAGAGGACCACGGAGGAAAGGAGCAAUCCGCUUUGGGAGGGGCCUGCGGCCCAUCAGCUAGUUGGUAGGGUAAUGGCCUACCAAGGCUACGACGGGUAGGGGGCCUGAGAGGGUGGUCCCCCACACUGGCACUGAAACACGGGCCAGACACCUACGGGUGGCAGCAGUAGGGAAUAUUGCCCAAUGGACGAAAGUCUGAGGCAGCAACGCCGCGUGCGCGAUGAAGGCCUUCGGGUUGUAAAGCGCUUUUCUGGGGGAAGAGGAAGGACGGUACCCCAGGAAUAAGUCUCGGCUAACUACGUGCCAGCAGCCGCGGUAAAACGUAGGAGGCGAGCGUUAUCCGGAUUUACUGGGCGUAAAGCGCGUGCAGGCGGCUUGGUAAGUCGGACGUGAAAGCUCCCGGCUCAACUGGGAGAGGCCGUUCGAAACUACCAGGCUAGAGGACAGUAGAGGGAGGUGGAAUUCCGGGUGUAGCGGUGAAAUGCGUAGAUAUCCGGAGGAACACCAGUGGCGAAGGCGGCCUCCUGGACUGCUCCUGACGCUCAGACGCGAAAGCUAGGGGAGCAAACGGGAUUAGACA
This 765-nucleotide ribosomal RNA is filed under the name uncultured bacterium. Its description in RNAcentral is "bacterial SSU rRNA". It matches the Rfam family "Bacterial small subunit ribosomal RNA", at positions 8 to 784 of the family's 1533-position model. The record is from RNAcentral.